Molecule: long non-coding RNA, 1526 nt
Organism: Cydia pomonella (codling moth)
Lineage: Eukaryota; Metazoa; Arthropoda; Insecta; Lepidoptera; Tortricidae
Exons: 2
Source: RefSeq, a predicted model, not a curated record
UUUUAAUCCCUAUUAGUAUAGUCAAGUUAAGAAAAAGUAUGGAAGUAAGUCGUGUAGUCGUGCUUUUUUUGGAUUUGUUAGAUGGCGCAACUAGAUUGAUUCCCCCGAGUUGCACCGUUUCUAUUAUGUACGGAAGACCGUUAAAUUUUAGGUAUAAACUAUAAAGUGCCGUAAUUUUGGAGUAAAUUAAAUGCUAUUAGGUUCAAGCUAAGUAGUGUAUAGAGAACACCUUGGUGCAUAGUAUAUCUUAAUUAAAAAGAUGUGCAAUGUAUGAUACCCUAAAAAAAAAUUUUUUUUCGAUUGCGGCUCGAGGAUAAGUCAGUCGGUUGGUGCAAUCUCAAGUUAAGCUUUUUAAAGCAUUAUAAACAUUCAGUUAACUUUGCACGCCUGGGCAAAUUAUGGAACAUGUAUUUUUAAUUAUUUUGUACAUUGUGCUUCGGGGGAAAUUAAGAGAGACGUGAAAAUUUUAAAAACGGUACUUAUCUAAAGACACUACAUUUGCACUAAAUUAAAAAUAGAUUUUUUUCACCGGAAGUUUGUCAAAAAGUAAAUAGAAUUAAUCGCAACAAACUGCAAGCGAAGGUGGUUGGCAGCACGUGGCACGGGGCGCGCGGGGCGGGGAGAUAGCGCAGCGCGCAGCUAGGGUUUGCAAUAUCCGACAAUUUUUCGGAUCCGGAUACAUAGAAAUAGGAUAUCAAGAACGACUAUCAAAAAUAGUGAUGUCAUGUUACAACAUAUUAAUAAUCUAUCGGUGUUUGACUGCUUUAUCGACUACUUAUUCAAAUGUGUUUGAUUGUAUAAAAAAAUGUUAUACGAGUAGGUAUGAAGUCGCUUCCCUUAUGGUCAUAUAGGGCCCAAAAGGUGCCUAUGAAACCAGCAUCAUAUUUUAGUAUGUUGUUAAGCAUGUUAUUCUGACUAAAAAACCACCGGGAGACAGUUUCUAACGUGGUUAAGUCACCAGUUAUGACGUCAUCAAAAUGGCCGGUGCCGUGUUCAGAAUAUUGCGUAUACCACAGCAAGUAUAUCACAUGUAAGCUUGUGUGGGGUGUCAUAAAAAGAAAAAUUAAAUGCGCUACAAUAUCGUUUAUACAUUUGACCUUGUAAAUACCAUAGUUUGCGAGAAAUUUUAAGUUUUAUUUAAAUACCUAUUCCCGAAAAAAAUCCGUUUUUUGUUUUCAUCAACUUUACUAGUAACUUUACAGGAAGACAUUGUAUCAAGAUAUUAAUGCUAUAUUAAUAAGCUAUAAAAAUCCAUUAAAAUUUUGAAAAUCGGUUUAUAAACAAGCAAAUUACACUAUUUUUGUUCCAUACCGGAUGACACCACCAAGAGUCGGAUGGCUGUUUCAAUACAAUUUGCAAGGCAAAUGAUGUUUAAGUAAAGGUAACUUGCUGAACGAUAUUUAUAGUAAAGUAAUAUUUUCGAUAAAAGUAUUAUUAUCAAAAUUAAGAAUACUGAGAUCGUUUUAUUGUAAUUUACUCCGGAUCUAGCUAAUUAAAGUUACACACUAAUUAAACAAAAAUAUUUA